ACGAACGCUGGCGGCGUGCUUAACACAUGCCAGUCGAACGGUGAAGGGAUCAGCUUGCUGGUUCUGGAUGAGUGGCGAACGGGUGAGUAACACGUGAGUAACCUGCCCCCUUCUUCUGGAUAACCGCAUGAAAGUGUGGCUAAUCCGGGAUAUUCUGGGUCUGUCGCAUGAUGGGUCUGGGAAAGAUAUUGUUUCGGUGGGGGAUGGGCUCGCGGCCUAUCAGCUUGUUGGUGGGGUGAUGGCCUACCAAGGCGGUGACGGGUAGCCGGCCUGAGAGGGUGGACGGUGACACUGGGACUGAGACACGGCCCAGACUCCUACGGGAGGCAGCAGUGGGGAAUAUUGCACAAUGGGCGCAAGCAUGAUGCAGCGACGCCGCGUGAGGGAUGGAGGCCUUCGGGUUGUAAACCUCUUUCGCCAGUGAAGCAGGCCUGCUCCUUGUGGGUGGGUUGACGGUAGCUGGAUAAGAAGCGCCGGCUAACUACGUG
This 488-nucleotide ribosomal RNA is filed under the name uncultured bacterium. Its description in RNAcentral is "partial 16S ribosomal RNA". It matches the Rfam family "Bacterial small subunit ribosomal RNA", at positions 29 to 507 of the family's 1533-position model. The record is from RNAcentral.